UACGACUACAUAUCAGGCAUAUCAAUAAGCGGAGGAAAAGAAACUAACAAGGAUUCCCUUAGUAACGGCGAGUGAAGCGGGAAGAGCUCAAAUUUGAAAUCUUCAAGGUUCUACCUUGACGAAUUGUAGUUUGAAAGAAGUGUUUUCUGUUAGAGGAGUUCGGUAAAAGUUCUUUGGAAUAGGACAUCAUAGAGGGUGAGAAUCCCGUAUUUGACCGUUAUCUUUCCUAGCUGUGUGAUACACUCUUCAAAGAGUCGGAUUGUUUGGGAAUGCAGUCCAAAAUGGGUGGUAAAUUUCAUCUAAAGCUAAAUAUUGGCGAGAGACCGAUAGCGAACAAGUACCGUGAGGGAAAGAUGAAAAGAACUUUGAAAAGAGAGUUAAACAGUACGUGAAAUUGUCAAAAGGGAAGCGUUUGACACCAGUGUUGUUUUUCUCGAAAAUCAAUUAAGAAGUGGCUUGAUUUUGUGUUGUAUUGACCUUAUCAGCUUUCUUCACUCUUUUUCGAGUCUUUCUUAAUGCACUUUUCGGUUAACAAGUCAACAUCAAUUUCUUUUGUUGUAAAAGGGUAUUUGGAAGGUGGCUUUCUUUUCGGAGAAAGUGUUUAUAGCCUUAUACCUCUACAAUCGGAGAGAUUGAGGUCUGCAGCGUAGAUCCUUCGGGGCUAGAUACACUUGUGCUAAGUUAUAGCUUUUCAUAGACAACUUGUUGACUAUGUUUAGUCAUGUAGCUUACCCGCUUGUGCCUAUUUUACCUACGCUUAGGAUGUUGAUCUACAGAGCGAGAGU
This 785-nucleotide ribosomal RNA is filed under the name uncultured Neocallimastigales. RNAcentral's name for it is "partial large subunit ribosomal RNA". It matches the Rfam family "Eukaryotic large subunit ribosomal RNA", at positions 24 to 640 of the family's 3401-position model. Lineage: Eukaryota; Fungi; Neocallimastigomycota; Neocallimastigomycetes; Neocallimastigales. The record is from RNAcentral.